GAUGAAGAACGUAGUGAAAUGCGAUAAGUAAUGUGAAUUGCAGAAUUCAGUGAGUCAUCGAAUCUUUGAACGCACAUUGCGCCCGCCAGUAUUCUGGCGGGCAUGCCUGUCCGAGCGUCAUUUCAACCCUCGAACCCCUCCGGGGGGUCGGCGUUGGGGACCUCGGGAGCCCCUAAGACGGGAUCCCGGCCCCGAAAUACAGUGGCGGUCUCGCCGCAGCCUCUCCUGCGCAGUAGUUUGCACAACUCGCACCGGGAGCGCGGCGCGUCCACGUCCGUAAAACACCCAACUUCUGAAAUGUUGACCUCGGAUCAGGUAGGAAUACCCGCUGAACUUAAGCAUAUCAAUAAGCGGAGGA
This 358-nucleotide unclassified non-coding RNA is filed under the name soil metagenome. Its description in RNAcentral is "partial contains 5.8S ribosomal RNA, internal transcribed spacer 2, and large subunit ribosomal RNA". The stretch from base 1 to 120 matches the Rfam family "5.8S ribosomal RNA", at positions 35 to 154 of the family's 154-position model. The record is from RNAcentral.